Molecule: ribosomal RNA, 253 nt
Filed under: uncultured bacterium
Lineage: Bacteria
Description: partial 16S ribosomal RNA
Rfam family: Bacterial small subunit ribosomal RNA
Source: RNAcentral
UACAGAGGUCCCAAGCGUUGUUCGGAUUCACUGGGCGUAAAGGGUGCGUAGGUGGUGGGGUAAGUUUGAUGUGAAAGCUCCGAGCUUAACUCGGAAAUGGCAUUGAAUACUAUCUCGCUUGAGGUUUGGAGGGGGGACUGGAAUUCUCGGUGUAGCAGUGAAAUGCGUAGAUAUCGAGAGGAACACCAGUGGCGAAGGCGAGUCCCUGGACAACACCUGACACUGAGGCACGAAAGCUAGGGGAGCAAACGGG